RNAcentral lists this ribosomal RNA (786 nucleotides) under uncultured Candidatus Cloacimonas sp. RNAcentral describes it as "bacterial SSU rRNA". It matches the Rfam family "Bacterial small subunit ribosomal RNA", at positions 141 to 917 of the family's 1533-position model. Lineage: Bacteria; Pseudomonadati; Candidatus Cloacimonadota; Cloacimonadia (SeqCode); Cloacimonadales (SeqCode); Cloacimonadaceae (SeqCode). The record is from RNAcentral.
GGACAACCCAGGGAAACUUGGGCUAAUACCGGAUGUGAGUGCCCUUCGGGGUAUUUGAAAGAUGGCUUUUAGCUGUCGCCUGGAGAUGAGCCUGCGCUCUAUUAGCUAGUUGGUGGGGUAACAGCUUACCAAGGCGAUGAUAGAUAGGCGGCCUUAACGGGUGGUCGCCCACACUGGGAUUGAGAUACGGCCCAGACUCCUACGGGAGGCAGCAGUCGAGAAUAGUCUACAAUGGUCGAAAGACUGAUAGUGCGACGCCGCGUGAACGAAGAAGCCCUUUGGGGUGUAAAGUUCUUUUAUAUGUGAGCAGUGCUUCUUAUGUGAACAGCAUGGGGAGAGAGAUAUUAGCAUAUGAAUAAGCAACGGCUAACUCCGUGCCAGCAGCCGCGGUAACACGGGGGUUGCGAGCGUUGUCCGGAAUUACUAGGCGUAAAGGGCAGGCAGGCGGAUCUAUAAGUUUUUUGUUUAAGGCGACAGCUCAACUGUCGUACGGCAGGAGAUACUGUAGAUCUGGAAUGCGGUUGGGGAAGACAGAAUUCCUGGUGUAGCGGUGGAAUGCGCAGAGAUCAGGAGGAAUACCGAAGGCGAAGGCAGUCUUCCAAGCCGUAAUUGACGCUGAACUGCGAAGGUGUGGGUAUCAAACAGGAUUAGAUACCCUGGUAGUCCACACAGUAAACGAUAAUCACUGGGUGUCGGGUUCGAAGAGGAUUCGGUGCCGUAGCUAACGCGAUAAGUGAUUCGCCUGGGGAGUACGAUCGCAAGGUUGAAACUCAACGAAUUGACGGA